This 74-nucleotide transfer RNA is filed under the name Methylophilus sp. RNAcentral describes it as "tRNA-Gly". It matches the Rfam family "tRNA". Rfam says of the family: Transfer RNA (tRNA) molecules are approximately 80 nucleotides in length. Their secondary structure includes four short double-helical elements and three loops (D, anti-codon, and T loops). Lineage: Bacteria; Pseudomonadati; Pseudomonadota; Betaproteobacteria; Nitrosomonadales; Methylophilaceae. RNAcentral also lists the same sequence under 3 other names. The record is from RNAcentral.
GCGGGAUUGGUGAAAUGGCAUCACGAAACUUUCCCAAAGUUUAAUCGCGGGUUCGAUUCCCGUAUCCCGCUCCA